UACGUAGGGACCAAGCGUUGUUCGGAUUUACUGGGCGUAAAGGGCACGUAGGCGGAUUCGUAAGUCAGGGGUGAAAUCCCGGGGCUCAACCUCGGAACUGCCUUUGAUACUGCGGGUCUUGAGUCCGAUAGAGGUGGGUGGAAUUCCUAGUGUAGAGGUGAAAUUCGUAGAUAUUAGGAAGAACACCGGUGGCGAAGGCGGCCCACUGGAUCGGUACUGACGCUGAGGUGCGAAAGCGUGGGGAGCAAACAGG
This 253-nucleotide ribosomal RNA is filed under the name uncultured bacterium. RNAcentral describes it as "partial 16S ribosomal RNA". It matches the Rfam family "Bacterial small subunit ribosomal RNA", at positions 524 to 776 of the family's 1533-position model. The record is from RNAcentral.